AACGUCUCAGUUCGGAUUGUAGUCUGCAACUCGACUACAUGAAGCUGGAAUCGCUAGUAAUCGCGAAUCAGCAUGUCGCGGUGAAUACGUUCCCGGGUCUUGUACACACCGCCCGUCACACCAUGAGAGUUGGCAACACCCGAAGUCGGUAGUCUAACCGCAAGGAGGACGCCGCCGAAGGUGGGGUUGAUGAUUAGGGUUAAGUCGUAACAAGGUACC
This 219-nucleotide ribosomal RNA is filed under the name uncultured bacterium. RNAcentral's name for it is "partial 16S ribosomal RNA". It matches the Rfam family "Bacterial small subunit ribosomal RNA", at positions 1282 to 1500 of the family's 1533-position model. The record is from RNAcentral.